GAGAGUAGGCGCAGGCAGUUGCAGCCAGCUUUUACAGCUGGUCUGAGGAAAGUCUGGACUCCCGAAAGACCAAACUUGCUGGGUAACGCCCAGUGCGAGCGAUCGUGAGGAUAGUGCCACAGAAAGAUACCGCCAAUGCUAGGGAGUAGGGAGUAGGGAGUAGGGAGUAGGGAAAAACCCUCAACCCUCAGCCCUCAGCCCUCACUCCUCAUUUGGUAAGGGUGCAAAGGUGCGGUAAGAGCGCACCAGCAGCAUCGAGAGGUGCUGGCUCGGUAAACCCCGGUUGGGAGCAAGGUCGGAGGAACUACGGUUGGUCUUUUACCAGUUCCGCAAUUGGUGUACCGCUAGAGGUGUCUGGUAACAGGCAUCCCAGAUAGAUAACUGCCUUCUGUAUGUAGAGAUGCGAUCGCGUUGAUGCAGCAGAAAACAGAAUCCAGCUUAUGUCCUGCUCUCUCAG
Molecule: RNase P RNA, 457 nt
Filed under: cyanobacterium TDX16
Lineage: Bacteria; Bacillati; Cyanobacteriota
Description: RNase P RNA component class A
Rfam family: Bacterial RNase P class A
About the family: Ribonuclease P (RNase P) is a ubiquitous endoribonuclease, found in archaea, bacteria and eukarya as well as chloroplasts and mitochondria. Its best characterised activity is the generation of mature 5'-ends of tRNAs by cleaving the 5'-leader elements of precursor-tRNAs.
Source: RNAcentral